Molecule: ribosomal RNA, 681 nt
Filed under: uncultured bacterium
Lineage: Bacteria
Description: bacterial SSU rRNA
Rfam family: Bacterial small subunit ribosomal RNA
Source: RNAcentral
UACGUAGAAAUCUACCCUCGGGUCUGGGAUAGCGUCGGGAAACUGGCGGUAAUACCGGAUAACGUCUUCGGACCAAAGGUGUGACUCCACCUGAGGAUGAGUCUACGUCCUAUUAGCUAGUUGGCGGGGUAAUGGCCCACCAAGGCAACGAUGGGUAGCGGGUGUGAGAGCAUGACCCGCCUCACUGGGACUGAGACACUGCCCAGACACCUACGGGUGGCUGCAGUCGAGAAUCUUUGUCAAUGGACGAAAGUCUGAACAAGCGACGCCGCGUGCGGGAUGAAGGCCCUCGGGUUGUAAACCGCUGUCGUAGGGGAACAAAUGGUUUAGGGUACUCCCUUUACCUUGAGUGAUCCUAGGAGGAAGGACGGGCUAAGUUCGUGCCAGCAGCCGCGGUAAGACGAACCGUCCGAACGUUAUUCGGUAUCACUGGGCUUAAAGAGUUCGUAGGCGGCCAAGCAGGUCAGGUGUGAAAUCCCACAGCUCAACUGUGGAACUGCGCUUGAAACCGCAUGGCUUGAGGGAGAUAGAGGUAAGCGGAACAGAUGGUGGAGCGGUGAGAUGCGUUGAUAUCAUCUGGAACACCGGUGGCGAAAGCGGCUUACUGGAUCUCUUCUGACGCUGAGGAACGAAAGCUAGGGUAGCGAACGGGAUUAGAUACCCCGGUAGUCCUAGCCGUAA